This 2324-nucleotide long non-coding RNA is filed under the name Medicago truncatula (barrel medic). RNAcentral's name for it is "long non-coding RNA (MTRU_LNC001689)". Lineage: Eukaryota; Viridiplantae; Streptophyta; Magnoliopsida; Fabales; Fabaceae. The record is from RNAcentral.
UCAUAUUUGGAUGUCAAAUAUCAUUAGCGAAAUGUGUGUGAUACACUCUAUACGCUGUAAUGUACUUCGAAAUGGUUAAUUUAAUGUUGUUAUUAUUACAUAAUUUAAAAUGGAUGUAAAAAUAAAAUAUGAUCGCAGCCAUCAAUGUACAUCAUAUUAAACUUUUGUUCCAAUCCUGUUCCAUCAGCUCCAAAAUAUAGCAAAAACAGGAUCAGGCUUGUAUAGCCAUUAUUUACUUCAAAAAAGGACGAUCUCCCUAUUGAACAAACCUCCUGGUGGUGAUAAAAAAUAUAUAUUAUAUAAAUGCUAGUUACUCCUAUAAGUUUUCUUAUGCCACUGAUUGAUACAUAUGUUAAAUUAACCAAAGUCUCAGUGAGUAAACUAACGCGUUUCUUAUUUCUUAAUGUACCAUAACCUGUUGUCACUACCAUUCUGCAAUUGAUGUUUCACCUGCAAUUAAUAACAUUCUUAGCUAAUCAGCAGUAACAUUCUUUAUAAGCAACAAUCACUUGCACAUAACGUGUGGUAGCAUGGAUAUUUUCUUCCCACAUGUAAGUACCUAUAUAGCAUGAGAUGUAAUCUACAAUUAUAGUUCAUUUCAUCAAAUAUCAACCUAUUAUGGGACUCGUUGAUCAAUGAAACAUCACUCCUAGGCAUUGUAGGAUAAUCUUCAUUCAUGUCUUCACUCAAGUGCAUAACUCUUCAACUGAUCUUCAUCUAACACUAAAUCUGCAGCAACCAAUGCAUCACAUAAUUACAUUAAUAUAAUCAGCAGUCAAUGAAGGCAUUGUUAUAAAGCUUACUGAAUGGUAGGUAUAAAUUACAUUAACAGAUCUCGCAUGGAUUGCGAUUGAAUAUUUUAUACUGGUUAUUUUGUUUUAAGCAGUAAAUUACAUUAAACUCAUGUGCUUCGAUUAGUUGGUUAAACAGAUUAAACUUCUACCCCACUGGAAGUUUGCGUGGCAUAUGCAUCCUACUGGAACUUUCACAAACAUCCUAAAUUCACGUGCUAGAUAAACCAACCUUUAUUUUAUAAUAUGCAACUUAUUCAUUUACCAUUAAUUACUCCCAAUACAUAGUAACAUGAUGCAAAAAUACAUAGACAUUCAACAUGAUGUGACUAUAUGUAAAAACUAUCAAGUAUAUGUUGAUAAAUUUAAAAAAAAGUUGGAAGAAUAUGAAAAAAAAUCAUUACCUUGUACACGUAAUAUCAUUCGUUGCCGAUAAAGGACACCAUCACUGAGGUGUUCCCAUGUUUUACUCCAAACAUAUUCAGGCCCAGAAAAUUGGUUUGAUACCAGCAAGAUAUCGAACAAUAGACUCACAUAAGAACAACAACACAUUUAAUUCAUUGACUCAUAAUGCGUUUUGCUCAUAAUGCAUUUUGCAAAAUAUUAGCCACAACAAUGCUUGAUUAAUUGUGUGGCCUUUCAAUGUGUAUAUAGCUUUUGACAACUUUUACUUAGUCCUGUAUAUGCACUGAUCAGGCUUUGCAAAAUGGAUCUUGUUAACUUAUAACUGAUAUUUUCUCAGCAAUAAAAAAAAAACUACUAAAUGAGCUUAUAUGGUUUUGUAGAUAAAACUAAAGAUACUUAAUACUACUAAUCAAUAAUAUGCAUUUUCCAAUGUGGUAUAUCUUGUGAUCCUACACCAUUAAUAGUAUGAAUGAAAAUUGUGGCAAGAUAUAGCUUUCCAUGAAAAAAUACAUAGUAUGAAAGAUAGAUUCCUAGAGCUUGAAACCGAUCUCACAUGUAAGUUCUGUUUGGUUGUAGUUAAUUUCACAUGAACUAACAAAGUAAACAUUGAAAGGAAAAAAAGAAGCAAUAGAUGAGCAAUCAACAUCUUCAUACAGUGACAGUCUAAAUGAUAAGCAAGGAGGGUUGGACCUAAAUGAAUCCAUAUCUCCACACAAUACUUAUACACAUAUCCAUAUAGACAGAUUUUCAAAUUUAAGGUCUAGUUAUCAUGAGUAGAUUAGAUAACACUGAGUACAAAAACCAAAAGAAGCAUGUUAACUUUGGCACCCAUUGAUUUUCAUUUUAAGAACAUUUGAAGAUAAGCAAUCAACAAUCUAUGUUUGAUUAUACUUGUCUCCAAGUACUUCUUUUGUGUCAUAAAAGUAAGUGAUUCAUAAUAUAAUAAAUUAUACAACAAAUAACUGAUGAAGAAUGCAAGUUUGGUGAUAUUAUUUGUUAAAAUAAAAAUGAAGGAUCAUGCACUAAAAUCAUAAAAUUCUCACAAUAAGGCAAUAUCACUUACAUUGGAGAUGUCAAAUUCAAUAUUUUAUGUCAUAGUUUCAACAGGUUCGUUCGUAUAGCAAACAC